This 1994-nucleotide long non-coding RNA is filed under the name Felis catus (domestic cat). RNAcentral's name for it is "lncRNA (ENSFCAG00000052633.1)". The record is from RNAcentral. Lineage: Eukaryota; Metazoa; Chordata; Mammalia; Carnivora; Felidae.
UGGGCACAUCGAAGGUCCGGACGCUUUCCCUGGUGUCCACAGCUCUGUGCCAGCAGGGCAGCGCCGCAGGGCUCACGAUGACGAGAAGCAGCUGAUGUGCUGACUUGCCGGGUCUCCAGUCUGAGGGCGGCUGCGGCCAGCAGGAAGCAGACCACCCCCCUCACCCGGGACGAGCCCGGAGGCUAGGGCGCGAGCCUGAGCUGCGAGCCUCGGGCUGAGGGCACAUCCUGUGGACCAGGGAGCAGCUGUCUCAGCCCAGGGCAGCGGGGACAUAGCCCUGCCCCUCCUGCCCUGUCCUGCUACGCAUCCAGCACCAGGCGAGGGAGGGCCCCCGCUCAGACCCACAGCCCACCCCGCCUGGGCUUCAGAUGCUGAGAGCCACCAGCUUCCCUCAUCGGGGACGAGGUGCAGCCACCUGUGCCCCACCCCGGGACAGAGCCACCAGCUUCCCUCAUCGGGGAUGAAGUACAGCCACCUGAACCCCACCCUGGGACAGAGUUACCAGCUUCCCUCAUCGGGACGAGGCAGAGACACCUGAAUCCUAUCCCAGGGCAGACCUACCAGCUUCCCUCAUCGGGGACGAGGCAGAGACACCUGAAUCCCAUCCUGGGAAAUGUGAGAACCAAGUAUGCGCCAAUCAGAAGGGCAGAGAGCAGCAGCCUGACAAUCGAUCGUGGGUCAGAUACAGUGUAAGCUCCAGGCAAGGGUGCAGGGCUUUGUGAUUUAAUGUGAGUUUCCCCCUCCUCUCCCACCAGGCGCUGCUCACCCCUUUGCCCUUUCUUCUUCACAAGCAGGAGGCCUGGGCGCCUCGGGAAACAAAUACAUAAGCAGAAAGCAAGGACAGAGGAGUAGCUUCUUGGAAUUUGAUGUAAAAGUUCAAGCCUUAAGUUGGAUAAAGUCAGCGAGAAGGAUUUGGGAGGAAACAUGCUAAGUGAGAGCCAGGCCCUUCUGCCUCUGUUCCUCGGGGUGCUGAACGCAGCCAGCUGAGAACUUUGUAUGGGCCUCUCCAGAGAGCUGCUCCAGGACCAGAGCUGGGAGACUGGUUACACUGCAGGAGAACCCAUUCAGAUUCAGGCUUGUUUCCGGGAAGAAACCCUGACAGAAAUUCAGAAGAACGGGAGCUGCAUUCAGUUAGGACGUGAAUACAUGAAAUGCUCAUCUCAGGACCUUCUAGAAGAAUGAGCUGGGACCCACUUUCCGAGUCCUGCCGGAACCAGAGACCGAGGUAAGGGCAUAAACUGUCCCCCACAUCAUACAUGCUUUUUUAAACAAUUUCAUGGUUAUUUUUCCAACCUAGUGAAGUGAUUGAAAACUACAGAAAACCUGGUAGGUAAGUCUCAUUAACCUUAUGUUAUCUUUUACUGUAAAUUCCAGUGAGUAAAAACACAGUGUAAUAUCAGUUUCAGGUGUACAAUAUAGAGCAACCCUUCCACACGUCACCCGGUGCUCAUCCCAGGUGCUUUCUUAAUCCCCAGCAGCUGUUUCACCCAUUCCCCAUCUCGCUGUGGAAGCCCUCAGUUUGUUUCCAAGUUAAGAGCCUGUUUGUCACUGUCUCCCCCCACCCCCCACCUUGUUUUGUUUCAUUUCCAUGUGUUAGUGAAAUCAUCUGGUAUUUGUCUUUCUGUGACAGUCUUAUUUCACCCAGUAUAACGUUCUCUCGCUCCAUCCACCUCGUGGCCAAUGACAAGAUUUCAUGUUUUUAUGGCUAAAUAAUAUUACAUUCCAUACACUACAUCUCAGUUUAUUCAUCAGUUGAUGGAUGCUCGGGCAGUUUCCGUAAUUUGGCUGUUGUAGAAAAUGCUGGUGUAAACAUCAGGGUGCAUGUAUCCCUUUGAAGAAUUAUUUUUGUAUUCUUUGUGGAAAUACUUCGUAGUGUUGUUGUUGUUGUUGUUGUUGUUGUUGUUGUUGUUGUUGUUGUUGUUGUUGUUGUUGUUGUUGUUGUUGUUGUUGUUGUUGUUGUUGUUGUUGUUGUUGUUGUUGUUGUUGUUGUUGUU